RNAcentral lists this microRNA precursor (69 nucleotides) under Bombyx mori (domestic silkworm). Its description in RNAcentral is "mir-2774 microRNA precursor family". It matches the Rfam family "mir-2774 microRNA precursor family". The record is from Rfam by way of RNAcentral. Lineage: Eukaryota; Metazoa; Arthropoda; Insecta; Lepidoptera; Bombycidae.
ACUCCGAUCCGGGACCAUCGGUCUACCGAGCAAAAUCAUCCGCUUGGUGGAAGAUAUUCCCCUCGUCAU